CCCUGUUUCAACCUGCAGAGUACAAUUAAACUGGUUUCAAUUUGGUGGAUUUAUUUAGCUGAAUGGAACAUAUCUUGCCAUGAAAUAGAAACAUCCACCCAGGAGCUCAGUGACUGGUAGAAGUUGUUGAAGCUUCCUCUUACAAAAGAAUUCUGACCUAACAGAUCCACCUAGAAGAAGUGUUAGGUAACAAUCACAUUACCAUGCUGACCAACCACAAUCCCAGAUGAGAAGGAGAAAUGAGAAAUGAAUUGCACUUUCCUCCCUCCUGCCUGAUUCCGCCAGUAUGGGGCGCUCUGACCAGAGCAGCAGCAGUGGUAGUAGCCUUCAGCAUGGCAUGGGACCCAAGAUCCAGCAGCCGCUGUACACUGGUGUGGGGUGAGGAGCAGCCAAACUGUUCAGUGGAGUUGACAAGAACAUAUGCAUUUUUUUCCAAGUCCACAGCAACUUUACACCUGUGGUCAUGCAGGCUUUGCCAUGGUUUCGAGGUGAAAGUGUUUUUUUUCUCUGACUAAGCAAGGUGCUUAAGAAGGGUAUCAGUGACCAGCUUUGGUAUUCAGCUGUUUCUGUUGCACAGCUGUCUGAAAAGCAGAGGAGCAAUAAAAAUACGUCGUGCCUGCA
Molecule: long non-coding RNA, 621 nt
Filed under: Anas platyrhynchos platyrhynchos (common mallard)
Lineage: Eukaryota; Metazoa; Chordata; Aves; Anseriformes; Anatidae
Description: lncRNA (ENSAPLG00000019721.1)
Source: RNAcentral